This 225-nucleotide ribosomal RNA is filed under the name uncultured bacterium. RNAcentral's name for it is "partial 16S ribosomal RNA". It matches the Rfam family "Bacterial small subunit ribosomal RNA", at positions 95 to 334 of the family's 1533-position model. The record is from RNAcentral.
UAGGCGCACGGGUGAGUAACACGUGGAUAAUCUGCCUUUUUGUGGGGGAUAACCUGGGGAAACCUGGGCUAAUACCGCAUAAGCUCGAGAGAGGAAAGCCGCAAGGCGCCAUUGGAGGAGUCCGCGGCCGAUUAGCUAGUUGGUGAGGUAAGAGCUCACCAAGGCGACGAUCGGUAGCCGGCCUGAGAGGGCACACGGCCACACUGGCACUGAAACACGGGCCAG